Molecule: transfer RNA, 89 nt
Filed under: Candidatus Dojkabacteria bacterium
Lineage: Bacteria
Description: tRNA-Leu
Rfam family: tRNA
About the family: Transfer RNA (tRNA) molecules are approximately 80 nucleotides in length. Their secondary structure includes four short double-helical elements and three loops (D, anti-codon, and T loops). Further hydrogen bonds mediate the characteristic L-shaped molecular structure. tRNAs have two regions of fundamental functional importance: the anti-codon, which is responsible for specific mRNA codon recognition, and the 3' end, to which the tRNAs corresponding amino acid is attached (by aminoacyl-tRNA synthetases). tRNAs cope with the degeneracy of the genetic code in two manners: having more than one tRNA (with a specific anti-codon) for a particular amino acid; and 'wobble' base-pairing, i.e. permitting non-standard base-pairing at the 3rd anti-codon position.
Source: RNAcentral
GCCGGGGUGGUGGAACUGGUAGACACGUUGGACUUAAAAUCCAAUGCCUUUAACCUGGCGUGCGGGUUCGAGUCCCGCCCUCGGCACCA